Molecule: long non-coding RNA, 907 nt
Organism: Cyprinus carpio carpio
Lineage: Eukaryota; Metazoa; Chordata; Actinopteri; Cypriniformes; Cyprinidae
Source: Ensembl
GGAGCUUUUGUUGUCCAGUACAGCUCAGAUAGAGGAUAGAACGACAUUGUACAAAGCAUCUUCCAAUGACAACAGUUCCCGCACGAUCUUCUAUGCACGAAGCUCUGCAUUAGGCUAUAAUUGGACAAAGUAUUGACAUGCGAAUCACAGAGCAGUGAGUUGGCUAAUGGCUUCCUGUCUGUGUUUCCUCUCUGCAUGGAGGGAAUCGUGCAAAACCACACCGGCCCAUGGCUGUCUUCACUAUGUUAUUGCAUGGCACGCAAUGCAAUCUAAUCUGCUGCUGCAGGCCUACUAACCUGCCUGCUAAAUAAUAAACACCACUGGACAGCAGCCUGCAAGGCCACGUAUAAUCCAGGUAGCACAGCUCUCUAAAGAGAAUUCAGGCUGGAUUACUGCCUCAUCCUCAAAGUCAAAAACCAAAAGCUCUGAAAGCCGACAGAGCACUUGAUUAGGAGAGCUGAGGAGCCUGAGGGAGGCCUUCUUCUCCUGCUGACCCCUUGGAUGUGUCAUUGCUGAUUAAUCUACAAAUUGUUUGACAGGCCACCCCUCUUUCAUCAGACAAAUGCUGUGAGCUCUAUCCUGUGCCACGCUCCCCCACUCACCCCCAGAUCUCCAGUGAAUGUUUCAGUCAUGCUGAUGUGAACUGCGGCAGGACAGAGGACGUGCAUAGAGUUAUACUGUAGUGUUUAUAGUGUUUGCAAACUGCAAGGUUUGAUCUGGUUUACUUUUGAAUCAGCUACUGUUACAUGUAGAAGCAUUAAAAUAUCCUCAUGCAGUUCAUUGAAGCGCCUUUUUUAAUCCAAUAAUUGUUUGUAGAAAGAAAUGCUUGAAUACAUUUUGAAAGUUAAUAUUGAGUAACUUGCAUUUUAGACAUAACAUUGCCAGUUAGUUUGUCCAUUUAUGCUCC